Clupea harengus (Atlantic herring) is the source of this 2078-nucleotide long non-coding RNA. Lineage: Eukaryota; Metazoa; Chordata; Actinopteri; Clupeiformes; Clupeidae. The record is from Ensembl.
AAAGUAUUUAUGCAUGUAUAUUGAUAAACAAAAUCAGUUAAAAAAAAAAAAAGUACUAUUUUUUUCUAUUUUGGCCUGUAACACUUCAAACACUUAAUGGCUCAUCUACAGUCUUAGUCAGUACCUAACAAGGCUAGCCAAUGACUUUCCUGCCUUUUUUGCUUAACCGGUCGAGGUUACCAAUAUGCUCAUACAAUCUUUUUCUCUUUUGGCCUGUAACACUUAAAUCAGUUAAAAAAAAAGUAUUUAUGCAUGUAUAUUGAUAAACAAAAUCAGUAAAAAAAAAAAAAAGUACUUUUUUUUUCUAUUUUGGCCUGUAACACUUCAAACACUUAAUGGCUCAUCUAGAGUCUUAGUCAGCACCUAACAAGGCUAGCCAAUGACUUUCCUGCCUUUUUUGCUUAACCGGUCGAGGUUACCAAUAUGCUCUUACUAUUUUUUUCUAUUUUGGCCUGUAACACUUCAAACACUAAAUGGCUCAUCUACAGUCUUAGUCAGCACCUAACAAGGCUAGCCAAUGACUUUCCUGCCUUUCCUGCCAGUUAAAAAAAAAAAGUAUUAAUGCAUGUAUAUUGAUAAACAAAAUCAGUUAAAAAAAAAAAAAAGAAUUUAUGCAUGUGUAUUGAUAAACAAAAUCAGUAAAAAAAAAAAAAAAGUACUUUUUUUUUCUAUUUUGGCCUGUAACACUUCAAACACUUAAUGGCUCAUCUAGAGUCUUAGUCAGCACCUAACAAGGCUAGCCAAUGACUUUCCUGCCUUUUUUGCUUAACCGGUCAAAGUUGGCCUGUAACACUUCAAACACUUAAUGGCUCAUCUACAGUCUUAGUCAGCACCUAACAAGGCUAGCCAAUGACUUUCCUGCCUUUUUUGCUUAACCGGUCGAGGUUACCAAUAUCCUCAUACAAAUUUUUUCUCUUUUGGCCUGUACCACUUAAAUCAGUUAAAAAAAUAACAAAAAAGUAUUCAUGCAUGUAUAUUGAUAAACAAAAUCAGUUAAAAAAAAAAAGUACUAUUUUUUUCUAUUUUGGCCUGUAACACUUCGAACACUUAAUGGCUCAUCUACAAGUCUUAGUCAGUACCUAACAAGGCUAGCCAAUGACUUUCCUGCCUUUUUUGCUUAACCGGUCGAGGUUACAUUGGCUCAUACAAUAUUUUUCUCUUUUGGCCUGUAACACUUAAAUCAGUAAAAAACAAAAAAAAAAAAAAAGUAUUUAUGUAUGUAUAUUGAUAAACAAAAUCAGUUAAAAAAAAAAAAGUACUAUUUUUUUCUAUUUUGGCCUGUAACACUUCAAACACUUAAUGGCUCAUCUACAGUCUUAGUCAGCACCUAACAAGGCUAGCCAAUGGCUUUCCUGCCUUUUUUGCUUAACCGGUCGAGGUUACCAAUAUGCUCAUACAAAUUUUUUCUCUUUUGGCCUGUAACACUUAAAUCAGUAAAAAAAAAAAAAAAAAAAAAGUAUUUAUGUAUGUAUAUUGAUAAACAAAAUCAGUUAAAAAAAAAAAGUACUAUUCUUUUCUAUUUUGGCCUGUAACACUUCAAACACUUAAUGGCUCAUCUACAGUCUUAGUCAGCACCUAACAAGGCUAGCCAAUGACUUUCCCUGCCUUUUUUGCUUAACCGGUCGAGGUUACCAAUAUGCUCUUACUAUUUUUUUCUAUUUUGGCCUUUAACACUUCAAACACUUAAUGGCUCAUAUACAGUCCAAGUCAGCACCUAACAAGGCUAGCCAAUGACUUUCCUGCCUUUUUUGCUUAACCGGUCGAGGUUACCAAUAUGCUCAUACAUUAUUUUUUUCUUUUGGCCUGUAACACUUCAAGCACUUAAUGGCUCAUCUACAGUCGUAGUCAGCACCUAACAAGGCUAGCCAAUGACUUUCCUGCCUUUUUUGCUUAACCGGUCGAGGUUACAUUGGCUCAUACAAUCUUUUUCUCUUUUGGCCUGUAACACUUAAAUCAGUUGAAAAAAAAAAGUAUUAAUGCAUGUGUAUUAAUAAACAAAAUCAGUAAAAAAAAAAGUUACCAAUAUGCUCAUACAUUAUUUUUUUCUUUUGGCCUGUAACACUUCAAGCACUUAAUGG